CCGCAAUGGGGGCAACCCUGACGGAGCGACGCCGCGUGCGGGACGACGUCCUUUGGGAUGUAAACCGCUUUUCGGGGGGAGGAGGAUGGACAGUACCCCCGGAAGAAGCCCCGGCUAACUACGUGCCAGCAGCCGCGGUAAUACGUAGGGGGCGAGCGUUGUCCGGAGUUACUGGGCGUAAAGCGCGCGCAGGCGGCCGCCUGCGUCGGUCGUGAAAUUCCCCGGCUCAACCGGGGCGGGUCGACCGAAACGGGGCGGCUGGAGGGCGACAGAGGGGGGUGGAAUGCCGUGUGGAGCAGUGAAAUGCGUAGAGACGCGGCGGAACACCGGCGGCGAAGGCGGCCCCCUGGGGCGCCCCUGACGCUGAGGCGCGAAGGCCGGGGGAGCGAACGGGAUUAGAUACCCCGGUAGUCCCGGCAGUAAACGAUGGGCGCUGGCUGGUGGCGGUUUGACCCCGUCAGUGGCUGAGCUAACGCGCAAGCGCCCCGCCUGGGGAGUACGGCCGCAAGGCUAAAACUCAAAGGAAUUGACGGAAUCGA
This 539-nucleotide ribosomal RNA is filed under the name uncultured bacterium. RNAcentral's name for it is "bacterial SSU rRNA". It matches the Rfam family "Bacterial small subunit ribosomal RNA", at positions 366 to 922 of the family's 1533-position model. The record is from RNAcentral.